This 732-nucleotide ribosomal RNA is filed under the name Morchella angusticeps. RNAcentral's name for it is "eukaryotic LSU rRNA". The stretch from base 257 to 410 matches the Rfam family "5.8S ribosomal RNA". The record is from RNAcentral. Lineage: Eukaryota; Fungi; Ascomycota; Pezizomycetes; Pezizales; Morchellaceae.
GUAACAAGGUUUCCGUAGGUGAACCUGCGGAAGGAUCAUUACCAAGAACCACACAGAAAAGGGAGGCAAAGGGGCCUACAGGGCUAGUAGCUUAUACGUUGUUGAACGUCCUGCCUGGACCCGGAGCCGCCCCCAUCUAAACCCUCUGCGUACCUGUCCCUUCUUGCUUCCCCCGGCAUCUCGUCGGGGGGAGGUAACAACCAAAACUCUCUGUGAAUCAAACAGCCGUCAGAAUUAUAAAACAAACAAAAGUUAAAACUUUCAACAACGGAUCUCUUGGUUCCCACAUCGAUGAAGAACGCAGCGAAAUGCGAUAAGUAAUGUGAAUUGCAGAAUUCAGUGAAUCAUCGAAUCUUUGAACGCACAUUGCGCCCCCUGGUAUUCCGGGGGGCAUGCCUGUUCGAGCGUCAUAAAAACCUCCUCCCCCUUCGGGUUUUGUUACUAUCGUUGGGGGGUUUUGGCCUAAUGGGAUAGCGAUUGGCAAUUCGUUUCCCAAUGUCCUAAAUAGACGUAGACCCGCCUCCAGAUGCGACAGCACCGAGGCCAUCAACCGUGGAGUUAUGGGAUAUAAUAGGCUUGCAGUAAAAUGCUCACCUCUCUCCACACGCCGAUGGCACGACAGUUGCAGUUGCGGGCGUAAAUUGGAGCCCUUUUCAGGACCCUUGUGGCCUAGCAUCCACCAUACAUAAUUUGACCUCGGAUCAGGUAGGGAUACCCGCUGAACUUAAGCAU